RNAcentral lists this ribosomal RNA (91 nucleotides) under Bryonia alba. Its description in RNAcentral is "partial 25S ribosomal RNA". It matches the Rfam family "Eukaryotic large subunit ribosomal RNA", at positions 1 to 92 of the family's 3401-position model. Lineage: Eukaryota; Viridiplantae; Streptophyta; Magnoliopsida; Cucurbitales; Cucurbitaceae. The record is from RNAcentral.
GACCCCAGGUCAGGCGGGACUACCCGCUGAGUUUAAGCAUAUCAAUAAGCRGAGGAAAAGAAACUUACAAAGAUUCCCCUAGUAACGGCGA